This 1977-nucleotide long non-coding RNA is filed under the name Callithrix jacchus (white-tufted-ear marmoset). RNAcentral's name for it is "lncRNA (ENSCJAG00000085151.1)". The record is from RNAcentral. Lineage: Eukaryota; Metazoa; Chordata; Mammalia; Primates; Cebidae.
UUUUAAUUAAAUUGAAUUAUUUUUAUGAGGAUCACUACAUUUAAAUAAAAAUUACCUGAUUUUUUAUAUCAAAAUUCACAGAUUCUGCUUCUACACAUUGUCUAUAGGGACCAUAAUUUCUACAAGUCCACUUUUCUAUAUCUUCCACUCUCAUCCCAUUUGAAUAAAAAACAUCCUUUUUUGGACACACAAGGGUCAGGCAGAUGCAACUACACGGUGGUUCACAUCAUUUUCUGAGGAGAACUUAAAAAACUGUUUUUAUACACAAGCAUUUUGUUGGCCAACUAUCAAAUAAAAAAUUCUGACAUUUGUUAAACGUUGGGAAGGAAGACCUUAAUACAAUUGCAGUAGUUGUUAUGGCCAUUGUAAUAGGGCUCAGAAACUGAUCAUAACUCUGAACACCGACAACUCAGAAUUUGUACUCAAUAAGUGGAAUAAAUCAGUGGAUAAGAAAUUACUGAAAAACAUUCGCUAAAAUAUCAAAGGAAGAAGAAUAUUUUCUAACAGAAUUCUGGCUACAGGCUGGCUGAGGACUUAAAUAUCAAGAAAGGGGAGUCUGAAUCUGAGUGGAUGCAGAAGAUAUGUGGAAUAUGCUAAGCCAUAACACGAUUUCUGAAAAUGAGCUUCUUAAACCACAAGCCAGGUAAUAAGUCAAGGUUGGAAUAGUCAAAGAAAGGGUUCAGUUAAUCUUCACUAACCUUUGGUCAUAAAGGACAUUUUUAUCACAACCAAGACUUUUUCUCAUUGGGUCUGAAAAGUAAUAAACACCAAAAGAAUUUUUGUUUGGGAAAUGAACACCCACUUUAUCUGAGAAAAGCUCCACCUUCUCCUGUUUAUCUUUAAAUUUAGUGUAGAAAAAGAGCACUUGUCAUUGCCACAUUUCUUAUUUUUCUUUCAUUCUUCAAAACAGAGAUUCACUUUUAUGCAAACAGCAACUUACCAAACACAAAAGUUAUAGCUCCUGACCACUAUUGAAGCUAACAAUGACUAUAGGACAUUUUAGACAACUGGGCAUAAAUAAUCAGAAGUAUCGAUGGGACUUUGGGAAGACUCCUCAGAUGGAGCUGACACAGCUGUCAUGUUGGUGGGCUUCUAUAAUCUCAGCUACUCUGGAGGCUGAGGCAGGAGAAUUGAUUGAACCCAGCUGGCAGAGGCUGCAGUGAGCUGAGAUCACACCACUACACUCCAGCUUGGACUAGAAGAAUCCAGUUUUAUUCUUCUGCAUAUGGAUAUCUAGUUUUCCCAGCACCAUUUAUUGAGGAGACUGUCUUUUCCCCAGUGUAUGUUCUUCACAGCUUUGUCAAAAAUGAGUUUUCUUGCCGGGCACGGUGGCUCACGCCUGUAAUCCCAGCACUUUGGGAAGCUGAGGCGGGCAGAUCACAAGGACAAGAGAUCGAGACAAUCCUGACCAACACGGUGAAACCCCGUUUCCACUAAAAAUACAAAAAUUAGUUUUUCUGUAUACUUACAGUUACCAGCAACUGUAUGGUUUAAAUAAUUCCUCUAUCAGCAGGUGUAAGCUCAGUUUGGUCUGGUUUUUCUUUCUGUUGUAAUAGAACAGCACUGAGUUCCAUGCCUCACAACGGCUGCACUCUGGCUCUCCGAACCAUGCCACCAUUGUUUGGGGAUUUGGGAGAAAUCAUGUAAGAUAUUCAAGACUGUUUUUCCCAUCUGUUCAGUGCCUCUUUCAGCACUAUGAAGCUAAAACCGGGUACUGUGAGUGCUCACCUAAUUUCUGGUUCUCAUAAAGGUGCUUUUUAAAUGUAGGCAGUUGUUCAAUUGGUGUUUUUGCAGAUGGGGUGGUUGGUGAAGCCUUCUCUUCUGCCAUCUUGCUGUACCUAUGAGCCUUCCAUUACAUUUUAAAUUAAUUAAUAUAAAGCUACAUAUCCAUAUAAGUUUUCCAUGGUCUCUAAAUUAUUAGAUGCCCCAUUUAUAAUAAAUUUUCUCAUCUAAAUUUUUUUUAUUGCAUUUUAGGUU